CUCCGGCCUUUUUGUAGUCUCAGAGUCUAAGAGUACAAAGUUUAUAAUACUUUGCUUCUAUUUCUAAUAUUUUGUCUUUAUCUCUUGUAACUUGACCCUUAUCAUUAUAUCAUUUUUGUCUACUUUCACUGUCUAGAUUUUUCCAUCACUAGAAAAUUUGCUGAAUUGUUUUCUUCCUCUUCAACCCAUUUUACCCGUACCCUUAUUCGAUUAUCUUUUAUUUUCUCAUUAUAAAGUUUUCCUCUUUCCUUAUAUAAAUAUUCUACUACCUGUUCUAAAUUAUGUUUGUUUUUAUUAUUGCACGAUGAUGAGUCUAUGAUACUAUUCUGUUAACAUUUUUUCAAACUUGUUGAUUUGUUCUUCUUUAUACUUGGCUUUUCAUUUACAUUAGCUGAUUGUCGGUCUCUAACUCUUAUUGCGAAAUUGACCAACCUAAUGUCAUGUUCAGUUUGAUUCUUUGCUUUGUUUUUAUCAUUUUUAACUAUUUUCUUAAUUAUUUCAACAUAUUCUAUAUUUUGAAGUACACUACUGUUAAGUUUCCAGUAUAACCUACCUUUUUGAC
Molecule: long non-coding RNA, 562 nt
Filed under: Mytilus galloprovincialis (Mediterranean mussel)
Lineage: Eukaryota; Metazoa; Mollusca; Bivalvia; Mytilida; Mytilidae
Source: RNAcentral